GAAUCAUAAAUACAGUUUGAAUCAAUAGCCUGUGUGUGAGAGUUUGUGUGUCUUCCCUCACACACAUCUAUUCAAAUAACUGCUUUCCCAUAUUCAAAUCCUUGCUUUCCAGCGUGGAAUAUUAGCGUAAAGCAAUGGAUCUUGGAUAUAAAUCUGCUUUUCCAAGACUUCUCUCUGCAUAGAGGAUUCCCUCCUCUCACUGAUACUGCUUUUAUGUAGCUACAAGUGCGUUGGCAUUCAGGACAGGAAAAGAGCCCUUAUAAAAAAGCACUUUUGUGCAAACUUUGUGGGCUUUAAGCACCAACCUAAAAUUAAGCAGACGCUUAAGCCCAAUCACGUGUAGGCAAUGCAGCCACAUCUCAGUGUCCUUCAAUCUCUGCAGGCAAGGCCACGUUAAUUCCUUGCAUCACCACGGACUCCAAGAGGAGUUUGGCAGCGUAACGAUUCGGUAGGAUCCUUAGGGCUCGAGGCUGAAUGUAUUUGCAUCCAGAUGCAUUGUGUUCUGAAUGCCGUUGUUCCAAUAUUUACCCAAGAUAAACUUGGCCCACGUUACAUCAUCCAUCCUUUGGGUAUACUGCAGAAAUCACUCCAGCUCUCUUCAGCACCCUGGGCAGCACGUGGACUUCUAAUUGUAGUGCGUUUCACGGGCUUGCCUCUGUGCUGGGGAGAAAGCAGGUCAUGUGGAAAGAAGGCGGCCAAGUGCAGAGACCCAAAGAGAGAAAUGAUCACGGGGAAAAUUACGGGUUGUUUCCUCACUGUUCACCUGCCUUGAGUGGUUCACUUAAUUAACAAUGCAAGUGUGAGCUGACAGAUUUGGCAGGGAACAAUAAUGCAGUGGGAGGUGAUGGAAAGUAGUCUUGCUGGGAAAGUUGUUCCUGAUUUAUAAAUACACCUGAUUAUUACAGAGUCGCCCGUUAAUGACUCUGUAGUUUAUAGCAACAUUCCCUGUUCCCAACCCUUGUUUUCAUGGUGUUAUGCAAAGGUGGCAGAAUUUGUCUCUGGGAGCUGAAAUUCAUCUUGCAGAACAGCUUUGUUUUCAUCCAUUGAGCAUUUAAAAAACAAAACAGAAAAAAACCUGCCUGGUUUCCUGUGUGCACGGGAGUCAGCUAAAGGUAGAGUUUGGCCUGCAAACAUAGGAAAUGUCUCAGUUUUAUUCUUGGAACAGAAGAUGGGUCCCGGGAGGCACCAGGCUCAGUUUUGUUGUGUCCUUGGCUCUUAAAGCCAGCACAGCGUCCAGCUGAAAAGAGGCCUGGUUCUGGUCUCCUUAGUCUGACGAAGAUCAGGUGCUGCUCCACCAAGUCAGGAAAUUACACUGGUGGAAUAAAACCAGCAGGAAAUCAGAUGAGAAACCA
RNAcentral lists this long non-coding RNA (1352 nucleotides) under Anser brachyrhynchus (Pink-footed goose). RNAcentral describes it as "lncRNA (ENSABRG00000022911.1)". Lineage: Eukaryota; Metazoa; Chordata; Aves; Anseriformes; Anatidae. The record is from RNAcentral.